CUGAUCAGUUAGAAGUAAGCCUUCUUCGCCGACUUGCCGCUAUGUCUCCUCAAUCGGCACUAGCUUUGUUUCGGCGAGUUGGUACCUCUUUGGCAUCUUACAUUUCUGAAAGUAUUGGCGACCAACCUACGGGUGGCGCUCUCAAUCGUGACCAACCUACGGGUGAACAAUUAACUCCAAAUAUUAGUUUAUCAUUUCAACAGCUUACAGGCGUUGAGGAGACUCAGCCUACGGGCGGGCUUCGUCUUUAUUCAGAAUCAUCGGAACCGGCGGACCAAUCCUUGCCCGAAGCUGACGCGGGCGUAGCACUUCAGGUGUUAAAUGACUCCGCACCGGGCACUAGCAAUGGCCAAAGCGAACAACGGCAAGGCCUUCAUGGGAUCGCGUCUCGAUUACGUGAAUUAAUUCAAUCGUUACCUGGUCGCGUUACUUCCCCUCCAACGCUAUUGGUGUGAACACAAUCAUUACCUUCACCACCCUUGUUGUCGCAUCCGGAUAAUGUGACGUCGGAACAACAGGUAGCCUGCGAUGUUGCGCAGCAACCACAAACCGAUUCUUUUACGCACGCGCAGCCAACUGCGACCAUACCAAGCCGAUUAUUUAUGACUCCUAUACCAAACAAUGAUGCCAUAUUGCAGGCGUGACGCGGCUUGGGUCCGACCACGGACUUAAGACCAACAGGAAUGUAGCCGGUGACUGGUAUGGGCUUGCAACCAGCAAACGCAGCUCAUCAGGCGGUGCCCGGGUUUACUUUCGGGCAGCCGUUCAUGCAGCCACCGCAGCAACAACAGCAGCCACCUGAUUUUUAUCAGGCAUUUUCCUUUUCCGGAUUGCCCGGAGUCGACGCCAGCGCGUUGUUGUUGUUUUCGUGGUCGUAUCAACUCUCAAGGCCACCUCAUGGAAAAGGUUAACAAUAAUAUUAACCAUAUCGGUGCUAUGAUGCAUACCCAGAAUCAGGUUAUGCAUGGCCAGGGGCAAACCCUUUCACGCGUAGUCGACCAAGUAAAUCAAAUUCACCAGGUGGGUACUCCAGGGCCAACCUUACUAACGCAAAAUUCACCAGCUCCAUUUGCUCGUCACUUGCCAUGACCACCCUACCUAACGGGAGACCCUAAGCAAGAUAAUAAAUCUAUUUCGGAUAAACUAGUGUGGUAUAACUCCGUGGUAGACUUCAUGCAACUCACGGGCAUGAACCACAUUAGUAACUUCAAAUUUUGCCUGCAGUUGUCUUUGUCUACUGCAGAAGCCUUAGCUAAGCCCGGUUGCAUGUGAACGAAGAACCAGGAAAUUUUGCCGGACUCGGCCAUAUCUGGCGCAUCAAGGAAGAUUAACAAACACUUCUGCACAUAUUCCGAAACGGACAUGUCCGGUCUUUGUGUCACCUCCCCACGCUUCUAAGAGUUCAUGUGUGCGCGAGGGAUCACCGUACACCUUCUUGAAUUCCGUAACCAAACUCGACCCACCUAGGGAAAUACCCUUCUGGGAAUAGUAAUGCUGCAGGCUAUCGAACCAUUUGCUGGCGGGGCCUUGCAGGAAAAAAUUGAAGUUACUGAAGUCUACCACGGAGUUAUACCAUAGAUAGAGUGUCAUAAGAUAGUAGAUAUUCCUGCAUAAGAGAAUCGCACCUUCCAGCGAAGAGUUACUGUUGUAGAACUAAGUUUGUGGCGGUCAGCUCUCUGGACGAACUGGUUUCCGUAUCAUGCCGUGCAGAUUGCACGGGCAUCUCUGGGCUCCUUGCCCUAUAUUAGCUUCCGCUUAUCUGUCUAACUUGUAACACA
This 1778-nucleotide long non-coding RNA is filed under the name Volvox carteri. RNAcentral describes it as "long non-coding RNA (VCAR_LNC000157)". The record is from RNAcentral. Lineage: Eukaryota; Viridiplantae; Chlorophyta; Chlorophyceae; Chlamydomonadales; Volvocaceae.